Molecule: long non-coding RNA, 845 nt
Organism: Panicum virgatum (switchgrass)
Lineage: Eukaryota; Viridiplantae; Streptophyta; Magnoliopsida; Poales; Poaceae
Exons: 3
Source: RefSeq, a predicted model, not a curated record
GCCGGCUGGUGAGCUACGAUGCCGCCGCCGCACAGAAACAGCUUCGCUCGGGAAAUGGCGGGCUAGGAUGGUGGGGGCGGCCGCUCCCUGCUCGCGCAGGGAAGCGCGCAUUGACCCGGCCGUGCUGUUGUCCAAGCGACGCGCUGCAGGCGGUGCACGGGAGGAAGCGGCGCAGGAGCAGCUAGGGUUCCGCGACUACCAGGCAAGAUUGCAUAAACUGCAAUCGCCAAAAUAAGGUUACACGCGACUUGAAGAAUAGAGAAUGCAAAACGGAUGGUAGGAGCGAAGCAUCACUUAGUACAUUAAUGCUUCUAUGCAGUACUCAGUCACUGUAACUCACUGCUGCCUUUCUGCAAAUGAAGGCCAAUUUUUUUUAUUCAUAUACUGCAAUACAUGUUUGAAAACUGUGCUUGAUUUUGAGGGUCUCAGCGCAAACUGCAAAUCGUCGCACUUCAAGACGCUCUUCCGGUGUUCUGUCUGGGUUAGUUCAAUGUUUCCUGUACGCAUUCUAGGGUGGUCUAGGCGAUUGCAGAUUAGUCCUGAGUCCUGACCCAAAUUGAAAUCCUCAUGCACAACAAUCAAGAUGACAUUAGCUGCAGGUGCCAAAAUAGGGGUAAGCAAAUUAAGGCGAAUUUGGUGAUGCAAAAGGUGAAUAUGAAACCAUACAGGAUGCACAAAAAAAAAAAGGUCAGAAGCCUAGCAUGCAGUACCAUUUUGUAUAGUGACACCUGUCACCUAUGCUGUAGCUUCUGCAACUACCAGCAGUUUCACCAUUCUAUUUCAUUCAGCAUGUGAGUUUGAUAACGUCUGCUUGAUCUUGAAGAUUUCAGUGCAAACUUGUCCCA